UGGGCGAAAGCCUGACCGAGCGACGCCGCGUGCGGGAUGAAGGUCUUCGGGUUGUAAACCGCUGUCGUUGGGGAGGAAGUGCAGGGGGGUUCUCCCCUCUGUUUGACCUAUCCAAGGAGGAAGUACGGGCUAAGUUCGUGCCAGCAGCCGCGGUAAGACGAACCGUACGAACGUUAUUCGGAAUUACUGGGCUUAAAGGGUGCGUAGGCGGCGCGGUAAGUUGGGUGUGAAAGCCCUCAGCUCAACUGAGGAACUGCACUCAAAACUACCGUGCUUGAGGGAGACAGAGGUAAGCGGAACUCAAGGUGGAGCGGUGAAAUGCGUUGAUAUCUUGAGGAACACCGGUGGCGAAGGCGGCUUACUGGGUCUUUUCUGACGCUGAGGCACGAAAGCUAAGGUAGCAAACGGGAUUAGAUACCCCGGUAGUCUUAGCUGUAAACGAUGAGCACUUGUUUGAAGGGUCCUCCAUAGCCUUUCAGACGUAGCGAAAGUGUUAAGUGCUCCGCCUGGGGA
Molecule: ribosomal RNA, 513 nt
Filed under: uncultured bacterium
Lineage: Bacteria
Description: bacterial SSU rRNA
Rfam family: Bacterial small subunit ribosomal RNA
Source: RNAcentral